RNAcentral lists this ribosomal RNA (253 nucleotides) under uncultured bacterium. Its description in RNAcentral is "partial 16S ribosomal RNA". It matches the Rfam family "Bacterial small subunit ribosomal RNA", at positions 524 to 776 of the family's 1533-position model. The record is from RNAcentral.
UACAGAGGUCUCAACCGUUGUUCGGAUUCAUUGGGCGUAAAGGGUGCGUAGGCGGUCGGGCAAGUCGGAUGUGAAAUCUCAGGGCUCAACCCUGAAACUGCAUUCGAUACUGCGCGGCUAGAGUGCUGGAGGGGAGACUGGAAUUUACGGUGUAGCAGUGAAAUGCGUAGAUAUCGUAAGGAAGACCAGUGGCGAAGGCGAGUCUCUGGACAGCAACUGACGCUGAGGCACGAAGGCCAGGGGAGCAAACGGG